This is a non-coding RNA of Coturnix japonica (Japanese quail), 660 nucleotides long. The record is from RefSeq and is a predicted model, not a curated record. NCBI's taxonomy places the organism in Eukaryota, Metazoa, Chordata, Aves, Galliformes, Phasianidae.
AACAAGUAUCGGACGGCAGCGAGUUCCUCCUGCAGGCCAAGGACGAGGAGGAGCUCCGCUCGUGGCUCCGCGCUAUUUCCGCUUCCGUCCAGGAACACGCGGACAUCGCCCGCGCGGCCGCCCCCCCCCCUGCCACCACUUCCUCCACCGACGAGGGGGCGGAGCGACGCACGGCGCGCAGGAAGUGACGUCACACCGCCCCAUUGCGUCACCGCCGUGACGUCACCACUCUUUCGGGGGGGGGGAGCACUUCACAUAAGCCAUAGAGAGAGCUGGGGGGGGAUGGGGGGAGGUAAUUAUUUAUUUAUGUAUUUAUUUAUUUAUGUAUUUAUUUAUUUUGGGGGAAAUUGUAAAGAUUUGAGGGCGAUGAACCAAAAAAUAUCCUAUAGAAAUCUAUAUUCUCUAUAUAAUAUAUAUGGACACCCCCCCCCCCCCGGCGCUGGGAGGUUUGUACAGAUGGAAUAAAGUGCCCAGACACCGACCCCACAAAAAGGAGCAGGCGGGACUUGUGUCACGGAACGGCCAAUCAGAAGCAGCGACAAACGAAAGCGGAAGUGCUCCUCCCGAAGCCGGAAGCCGGAAGCGCCGCGGCCGCAGCGGCGGCCAUGGAGGCGGCCAUGAUGGGGGGGGCGGAGGUGGUGGAGCUGAACGUGGGCGGCA